GUUGGCCGCACUCCGCACUGUUCUCGGGACAGGGGGCGAAACAAAUGUUCCACCGCGGUUAUAUUCGGAAAAUGCGUCCUAGGUGAGAAACUUUCAAGUAGCCUUCAAUUUGCACCUGUUACGUGAUCUAGUGACUUCGCAGGAAAAUGCACAGGAAUCGAGAAACGAAUGAGCAGAUUUGAUAAACUAGUUUGCUGUCACGUUGGUGAGGGCCCGGGAGAGGCGUGAAAGGAGCGGGAGC
Amblyraja radiata (thorny skate) is the source of this 241-nucleotide long non-coding RNA. RefSeq lists it as uncharacterized. NCBI's taxonomy places the organism in Eukaryota, Metazoa, Chordata, Chondrichthyes, Rajiformes, Rajidae. The transcript is spliced from 3 exons. The record is from RefSeq and is a predicted model, not a curated record.